ACUCCUACGGGAGGCAGCAGUGGGGAAUUUUGCGCAAUGGGGGAAACCCUGACGCAGCAACGCCGCGUGGAGGAUGAAGUCCCUUGGGAUGUAAACUCCUUUCGACCCGGACGAUACUGACGGUACGGGUGGAAGAAGCCCCGGCUAACUUCGUGCCAGCAGCCGCGGUAAUACGAAGGGGGCUAGCGUUGUUCGGAUUUACUGGGCGUAAAGCGCGUGUAGGCGGCCUCCUCAGUCUGGUGUGAAAGCCCGGGGCUUACCCCCGGAAGUGCAUUGGAUACUGGGAGGCUGGAGUACCGGAGAGGAGGGUGGAAUUCCUGGUGUAGCGGUGAAAUGCGUAGAUAUCAGGAGGAACACCGGUGGCGAAGGCGGCAUCCUGGACCAAUUCUGACGCUGAGUGAGCGAAAGCCAGGGGAGCAAACGGGAUUAGAUACCCCGGUAGUCCUGGCCCUAAACGAUGAAUGCUUGGUGUGGCGGGUAUCGAUCCCUGCCGUGCCGAAGCUAACGCAUUAAGCAUUCCGCCUGGGGAGUACGGUCGCAAGGCUGAAACUUAAAGGAAUUGACG
RNAcentral lists this ribosomal RNA (565 nucleotides) under uncultured Acidobacteriota bacterium. RNAcentral's name for it is "bacterial SSU rRNA". It matches the Rfam family "Bacterial small subunit ribosomal RNA", at positions 335 to 915 of the family's 1533-position model. The record is from RNAcentral. Lineage: Bacteria; Pseudomonadati; Acidobacteriota.